RNAcentral lists this ribosomal RNA (252 nucleotides) under uncultured bacterium. Its description in RNAcentral is "partial 16S ribosomal RNA". It matches the Rfam family "Bacterial small subunit ribosomal RNA", at positions 57 to 305 of the family's 1533-position model. The record is from RNAcentral.
GCAAGUCGAGCGGUAACAGAGAGUAGCUUGCUACUUUGCUGACGAGCGGCGGACGGGUGAGUAAUGCUUGGGAAUAUGCCUUAUGGUGGGGGACAACAGUUGGAAACGACUGCUAAUACCGCAUAACGUCUACGGACCAAAGGGGGGGAUCUUCGGACCUCUCGCCAUUUGAUUAGCCCAGGUGAGAUUAGCUUGUUGGUGAGGUAAGAGCUCACCAAGGCGACGAUCUCUAGCUGGUCUGAGAGGAUGAUC